This is a long non-coding RNA of Panicum virgatum (switchgrass), 1663 nucleotides long. RefSeq lists it as uncharacterized. NCBI's taxonomy places the organism in Eukaryota, Viridiplantae, Streptophyta, Magnoliopsida, Poales, Poaceae. The record is from RefSeq and is a predicted model, not a curated record. The transcript has 2 exons.
CUCCAGCCGGUUCCCGUCCCCCAUGCCGAGCGCCGCCCGAGCCGCUCCCUUCUCGUGGCCGCUUGCCUCCUUCUCCUCUGCAUCGCCAACUCCUCGUCUUCCCCUUCCGUUUCUCCUUCCUCGAUCAGAAACGGCCGCACAUCUUGGCCUUAAUGGCCGGCCACCAUGUGCUCGCCGCCCCUUCCCCUUGCCGUCUCCUCCCCUUCCUUCCUCGGUCUACAAAAGGCGCACCCAAGCCCCGCCUCGCUCUUUUCCUUGCUUUGGUGCCCCGCCCUCGCUCUCCCCAGUCUCGCAGCGCCGCCGCACGUCGUGCCCGGAGCGCCGCCACAGCUGAUCUCCCGCUCUUCCGCUCUUACUCGACAACAAACCACUGCCGGAGCUCUGCCUUGAGACGACACGCCGUUCGAGGGAAAUCAAGAGUAGCAAUUCGAAGAAGAAGAACAACAGUUUGGCAAGGAAGGCAAGUGGACUUCUCCCCCUGCAUAUUCCAUUUUGUCCCAAUAAUAUAUGAUAAUUCACUUUACUUUAUUGUUGAAUUGCAUAAAUUUGAUGGGACACCUAUUAAGGACUUUACCUAGUCUUUUACCCCAAAACCUUGAACACCGGGUUUAGUAUAUCUGUUGGGUAGAAAUGCUUAGUUGCUUAACUUUGGAAUGGUAAUAUCAUAAUCUUUUGAGAAUGUUAUUCAUGCUUUAUAUAUGCUGUUAUGUUGUGGUUAAUUACAAGAUCAUAUGAUUUAAUUGGAACAUGGAGAACCACCCAGGAAAACAGUACAACCACAAGGACCACAUGGCUCUGGUCUUGGCUGAUUAAUUAGAGACUCUAGUUUGAAGCGGUCUUACCGAAAGGGCAAGAGGAGUGGCGGUUGUCGGGGUAUAACCCGGUCCUCUUGGGAUGUGGGCUUUGCUAAGACACUAUGCCCAUUAGGGAGGUUUAUACUCUGCUACUGCUCCGGAAACCUUAGCGGACUACUUCUUACUAGGGAAUCUUUGUAAAGGCCUCGUAGUGUCCCUAUGCAACCACACCUCGGAAGUGUGGUAUUGUGCCUGAUCAGCACAGCGUGGUUGGGUCCAAAGUUCUUUUUAACUUUUACCCGACUUGUGGGUAAAGUGUACAAUCUCUGCAGAGUGUUUAAAACUGAUAUAUCAGCCGUGCUCACGGUCAUGAGCGGCCUGGACCCUCACAUGAUAACUGAACUUGAAGAAUGACUUAAUCUGUGGUGCUUUGGUUUAUAUUGUUGUAUCAUUUAUGAUCUAUUGCUUAAGUGGGUUGGUAUAAACUUAUACCUAGUAAAUAGGUGCUUGCUAAUAAAAUUUGACCAACUAAAAUGCUAACUCCUAUAAACCUCAGCUUUUCCUUGGUAGCCUUGCAUCUUCCCCCACUUGCUGAGUACCAACCAUAAAUGUACUCACAUUUGCCUAAUUGCUGCUCAAAAGAGAAUGUUGGAAUGGAGAACUACAUCAACUUCAAGAAGUUCUAGGCAUGCGUUCACCAGUCAAUUGCCUAUGGGAUUGGAUGAAGCUUUGUUGAAGAUAUCGUAUAGGAUAUCGGUGGAACGUCUAAAGACCUUCGCGUCUAUUUAUCGGAGUGUAAUAAAGUUAUUUACUCUCUCUUGCUUACGUUUUGGACAUUGUCUUUGAUAUAUUUCACUUAUGACGUCUAU